GAAUCCAGGUUUCAAUACAGCCCAGACCUUCUGCCAGUUGUCUUUACAGCAACCGAACCACUGACAUGAACAACAUUUCCGACUAUCAUCGUCCCUUUGAAUUUUUGGUAAGUGCUUCACCAUAAUAUAGUCUUCUUUUAGCUUAGGACCAUACUCGGGCGAAAAGGAUAAUCUUGAAACUUCUAGAAACCUGCAUACCUCCUGGGAAUUGACAAUAUCUAUAUUUCCAAGAAAGUGAUUCAAGUAACCCUGCAUAGCAUUUUUUGCUCGAUCUGACAUUGAAUGUUGCCUUCCGAGGGUUGGCCGAAUUAUUGGCAAAGCAGCACUAGACGGAACAUCUCUGAACAAAAAACCACCUGUUUUUGGCACUUUCCUCAGCACGCAUAGGACUAGCCUCAUCAUCCGGUUCAUCCUCAUCUUGCAUUACAGUUGUAUGAUCU
RNAcentral lists this unclassified non-coding RNA (440 nucleotides) under Hevea brasiliensis (rubber tree). Lineage: Eukaryota; Viridiplantae; Streptophyta; Magnoliopsida; Malpighiales; Euphorbiaceae. The record is from RNAcentral.